This 291-nucleotide unclassified non-coding RNA is filed under the name Hevea brasiliensis (rubber tree). Lineage: Eukaryota; Viridiplantae; Streptophyta; Magnoliopsida; Malpighiales; Euphorbiaceae. The record is from RNAcentral.
AGAGGAUGAUGGAGGGAUCAAGGAUGAUUUGGGAUUUGAAUCAGACAUUGAUACUUUUUUUCCUUGACCAGAGACGUAGUGCUAGGUGUCUGGGAUUGAUGAGAUUGUCUAGUACUUGCAAUAAAAAUUGGAAUUUGGGUCUUUAGGAUUUUCAAGGUCUACCAGGAAAAUGGCUUCACAAAAGAUCUGUACUGAAUCAAAUAAUACAACAGAUUACAAGAACCUUAACAUCCCUUGAAUGAGAAAUCUGAGCAGAAAUGACCAAUCUUCAUGUCUGAGAAAAGAAAGAAG